UUGCCCUUUUUCUAUUAAAACCCAUAAAAUGGAUACCUGAUCCCGCAGAGUGAUUCAAGCACAUCAGGUGAUGAUCAUGAUGUUGAAUCCGAGAGUCAAAGCAAGUUACUAGUCCCAGCAAGCAACGAAUUACUGGUGUCACCCUCGGGAACCCAGAUUGGCUAGUUACAAGGGUGGGAAUCUCACUCUUGCCGGAACAAUCACCCCCAACCUCUCUUUCCUCUGCCUAAUCAACUUGCAGAACAAUAGCUUCAGCGGUUACCUUCCAACAGACUUGGGCAAGCUCUUUCGGCUAGAGACGCUCGUUCUAGCUUCCUAUGUCAUCCGUGGAACCAUACCCUCCUCGCUUAGCCUCUGUUCUAAGCUUCAGCUUCUUGAUUUGUCUGAUAAUCAGUUUCACGGGUCAAUCCCACCAGAAUUAGGAAUUCAUUCCAAAUGAAUUAGGUUAGCUCCAUUUCUUGUUACAAUUAAGCUUAGCUGACAACAAUCUCUCAGGUGAGAUUUCCAACUCUCUAUACAAGUUACAACCUUUCUUCUUUACCCAAUUUGUUCUCUACUUUACCCAAUCUAGAUACCUUGUUUGUGGGUGGUAACUUGCUACAAGGACCAAACCCCGCAUCUCUCUCCAAUGCUUCAAGCCUGAAACGACUUGAUCUCUCAUCCAACCAAUUCACAGGACAGGUUCCCCUGCCCUAGAAUCUUCCAAAUCUUUUAAUUCUGAAUCUUGAGAUCAAUGGUUUGGUAAGCAACGGUGAGAACGGAUUGGAUUUCAUCACCUCAUUGCAAGAUUCCACCCUUCUACAAGUUUUUUCUAUUGCUACAUAGGUAAUCUCUGAACUCAGCUUUCUCUGCUAGUAAUGGAUGAAAAUUGGGAAUCUACAGUCUCAUAAUGUUGUCUAUAGAAUCGAAUUCCUUAACCGGGAACAUUCCUUGAAUGUUUCAAAACCAUUGGUUUUAUUGUACAGGAUGGACUUUGUCACUGACCCCAUGGUACAAGGGGUCUUUGUAAAACAUUAGAUUGUGGAAAGAUGCGUGGCGUACGGAAAAUGAAAAGUUCAUUUGUUACCAAUUUAGCGUUUUUUAGAUUGAGAACUCUUUUUGAUUACUUGGAUGGAUGACUAAAGAAUCCUGUAUCUUGAAGAAUAGAAUAUCAUUGGAUAUAUAUACACCAGUUGGCCUUCUUUUAGUAAGUCCCUUUUGAACAAGUCGGGUAAAUGGGGGGGAAGCUGAUGCAAUUCCAAGCUUUAGCCAUAAUGAAGGCAUUUCCAUCCCAUGACUUUUUCUCAACCCGCAUUAAGGUCAGUGGGACCUUACCCGUAGUCCUGUACCUCUCUGUUCUGUCGCCAGUCGCCACCCCUGGGUCCCCCCAUUGUACUAAUAGUCUAAUACCAAAGGAACAAAAGAAAACAAAAAAAAAAAAAAAAAAAAAA
Non-coding RNA from Nelumbo nucifera (sacred lotus), 1430 nucleotides. Lineage: Eukaryota; Viridiplantae; Streptophyta; Magnoliopsida; Proteales; Nelumbonaceae. The record is from RefSeq and is a predicted model, not a curated record.